GCUUGCAUCAUGAUUUACAUUUGAGUGAGUGGCGAACUGGUGAGUAACACGUGGGAAACCUGCCCAGAAGCGGGGGAUAACACCUGGAAACAGAUGCUAAUACCGCAUAACAACUUGGACCGCAUGGUCCGAGCUUGAAAGAUGGCUUUGGCUAUCACUUUUGGAUGGUCCCGCGGCGUAUUAGCUAGAUGGUGGGGUAACGGCUCACCAUGGCAAUGAUACGUAGCCGACCUGAGAGGGUAAUCGGCCACAUUGGGACUGAGACACGGCCCAAACUCCAACGGGAGGCAGCAGUAGGGAAUCUUCCACAAUGGACGAAAGUCUGAUGGAGCAACGCCGCGUGAGUGAAGAAGGGUUUCGGCUCGUAAAACUCUGUUGUUAAAGAAGAACAUAUCUGAGAGUAACUGUUCAGGUAUUGACGGUAUUUAACCAGAAAGCCACGGCUAACUACGUGCCAGCAGCCGCGGUAAUACGUAGGUGGCAAGCGUUGUCCGGAUUUAUUGGGCGUAAAGCGAGCGCAGGCGGUUUUUUAAGUCUGAUGUGAAAGCCUUCGGCUCAACCGAAGAAGUGCAUCGGAAACUGGGAAACUUGAGUGCAGAAGAGGACAGUGGAACUCCAUGUGUAGCGGUGAAAUGCGUAGAUAUAUGGAAGAACACCAGUGGCGAAGGCGGCUGUCUGGUCUGUAACUGACGCUGAGGCUCGAAAGUAUGGGUAGCAAACAGGAUUAGAUACCCUGGUAGUCCAUACCGUAAACGAUGAAUGCUAAGUGUUGGAGGGUUUCCGCCCUUCAGUGCUGCAGCUAACGCAUUAAGCAUUCCGCCUGGGGAGUACGGCCGCAAGGCUGAAACUCAAAGGAAUUGACGGGGGCCCGCACAAGCGGUGGAGCAUGUGGUUUAAUUCGAAGCUACGCGAAGAACCUUACCAGUCUUGACAUACUAUGCAAAUCUAAGAGA
RNAcentral lists this ribosomal RNA (953 nucleotides) under Lactiplantibacillus plantarum. RNAcentral describes it as "bacterial SSU rRNA". It matches the Rfam family "Bacterial small subunit ribosomal RNA", at positions 66 to 1006 of the family's 1533-position model. The record is from RNAcentral. Lineage: Bacteria; Bacillati; Bacillota; Bacilli; Lactobacillales; Lactobacillaceae.